RNAcentral lists this ribosomal RNA (495 nucleotides) under uncultured bacterium. RNAcentral's name for it is "partial 16S ribosomal RNA". It matches the Rfam family "Bacterial small subunit ribosomal RNA", at positions 28 to 507 of the family's 1533-position model. The record is from RNAcentral.
GACGAACGCUGGCGGCGUGCCUAAUACAUGCAAGUCGAACGCUGAAGGAGGAGCUUGCUUCUCUGGAUGAGUUGCGAACGGGUGAGUAACGCGUAGGUAACCUGCCUGUUAGCGGGGGAUAACUAUUGGAAACGAUAGCUAAUACCGCAUAAGAGUAGAUGUCGCAUGACAUUUGCUUAAAAGGUGCAAUUGCAUCACUACCAGAUGGACCUGCGUUGUAUUAGCUAGUUGGUGAGGUAACGGCUCACCAAGGCAACGAUACAUAGCCGACCUGAGAGGGUGGUCGGCCACACUGGGACUGAGACACGCCCCAGACGGCUACGGGAGGCAGCAGUAGGGAAUCUGCGGGAAUGGGCGGGAGACUGACCGAGCAACGCCGCGGGAGUGAAGAAGGUUUUCGGAUCGGAAAGCUCGGUUGUAAGAGAAGAACGAGUGUGGGAGUGGAAAGAACACACUGUGACGGUAACUGACCAGAAAGGGACGGCUAACUACGUG